Molecule: small RNA, 29 nt
Filed under: Bombyx mori (domestic silkworm)
Lineage: Eukaryota; Metazoa; Arthropoda; Insecta; Lepidoptera; Bombycidae
Description: piRNA piR-bmo-1810336
Source: RNAcentral
UACAUGUAGUUGCUGUCUCCGAUCCAUGA